UACCAGCUCCUCGAGUGGUCGGGGCGAUUAUUGGGCCUAAAGCAUCCGUAGCCGGUUCCGUAGGUCCUCUGUUAAAUCCAACCGCUUAACGGUUGACAUGCAGAGGAUACCGCGAGACUAGGAGGCGGGAGAGGCGGACGGUACUCCGCGUGUAGGGGUAAAAUCCUUUGAUCCGCGGAAGACCACCAGUGGCGAAGGCGGUCCGCCAGAACGCGCUCGGACGGUGAGGGAUGAAAGCUGGGGGAGCGAACCGGG
Molecule: ribosomal RNA, 255 nt
Filed under: uncultured bacterium
Lineage: Bacteria
Description: partial 16S ribosomal RNA
Rfam family: Archaeal small subunit ribosomal RNA
Source: RNAcentral